AUACUUCUAAAAUAUUUAAUAUCAUUUAAUUACUACAAAAUUAUCAUUUUUGAUAUUGCUUUUCUCCAUGACUAUAACAAUUCGAUUAUAAUCAUCAAAGCGCAGAGAUAUAAUCUGAUAGCAUUUAAUUACUACAAAAUUACAAAAUAUUUAGACAAUGAUUCAUAAACAUAUCAUAAAUAAGAUCAACAUUAAUAAAAUAAAUGGGUUUAUUUUUACAGGACGGGUUUGGAAGGACGUUACUUAAUAACAUUUGUAAACUAUAAAAUAAAAUUAUUUUAUAGAUAAAUACAAUUUAUAAACUUUUAUAUAUACUAACUUUAAAAAAUAAAUUAUUCCCGCGAUAUACCGCGGGUUAAAAUCUAGUGUAUAUAUCAAGUUGUAGCAAAACCAGCUGUUGGUAUAGUUUUUUCAUUAAAGUUGUUCCAU
This 429-nucleotide small RNA is filed under the name Arabidopsis thaliana (thale cress). RNAcentral describes it as "ATSL071280". The record is from RNAcentral. Lineage: Eukaryota; Viridiplantae; Streptophyta; Magnoliopsida; Brassicales; Brassicaceae.